CUGCCCCAGCGCGUUGCAGUCGCGCAACGACAGCGUGGUAGAAUAUCCGGCUCCGUGGCUUUUGCUUCGGUGUUUCCUAGGCAUCGUCGUGCAGGGAGUGUCGAGCCCGCCCCAAAUGGUCGUUUCCCCUACAGUUUCCUGUACCUUUUGAGAUGUCCGUCGUUCUGUCUGGUCCUGCCAUUGAUCCAUGCUAUUUGCUACUGAGAUGUCUUCAUUCCUGUCUGCCUAGUCCCAUCAGGACAAAAGAUGAAUCAUAAAAAAAGAAAAAAAAGAAGUAAAAACAAAAGGAGGAAACAACCACAUGUUAAACCUUUCUGAGGCAUUGUGCACAUCAUGUUUAAAGAGUUUAUUUUGUGAUUGGUUUGCAUUUUCACUGGUUUGUCAUGAUUACAGUCACAGUGUCCAAUUUGUUAAGGAAAAAACUAUGUGUAUAAUUUUGCUUGUUGAUUGCAUGCAAUGUAAAUAUACUUUAAAAUUUAGAUUCAUAGUGCCAUCUCUUAAAUAUCUCUAUCAAGAUUAGUAGAGCAGACCCACAUACUUCAAACCAUCAAACAAUGCCAGUUGGAUUAUUUUUACCUCCGUACCUUGAGAAAGAUGGCAUUCAGUAAACAGUUGUCUCUUUUCAAAUUUUAUUUUUUUAUUUUUUUAUUUUUUUUCAACGUUUAUUUAUUUUUGAGACAGAGAGAGACACAGCAUGAACGGGGGAGGGGCAGAGAGAGAGGGAGACACAGAAUCGGAAGCAGGCUCCAGGCUCUGAGCCAUCAGCCCAGAGCCAGAUGCGGGGCUCGAACUCACGGACCGUGAGAUCGUGACCUGAGCUGAAGUCAGACGCUUAACCGACUGAGCCACCCAGGUGCCCCUCAAAUUUUAUUUUUGAAAAUACAUAUUAACAUAGUUUCAUAUAAUGAUACUAAACUCAGUAUAAUUGAUAUACAGAAUUGCAAGUCCUUAGUAAAGGAAUCUGUUGAAAGUAAAACCAUGUCCAAUGACUCUCAAAAUAAAUAUGAUCAAAGCAGCAAAGAUAGUUUUCAUCUUGUCUUCCAUUUUCUGUGGAACAGUUCGGGCAGUAGCUGCUCUUCCCAAUCAGGGCCUUAAAAUCACAUUUUAAAUCUCUAUGUAAGAGCACAUAGCAAACAGUACUGUAUUUGUUGCCAAUGAUAAAAGUUGAGCUCUCAAGGAAAAACCAGAAUUUUGGUAAAUCUGUAUCCACUACUCAUUUUCCCUCUUUGUCUUAGAUCAUGAGGUUAACAGUUUAUCCAAACUUAAUGACUUUUCUGAUGAGAUUAGUAAUGAUGUUAAUGAAUAUGUAUUUUUUAUGUUGUAUAACUAAGGGAGUUACUUUUUAGAAGAUCUGCAUAAUUUAGUAGACCAAUAUUUCUCAGAUAAUCAAUGCACGAUGUUACAGAAUCAUGGACCAGUAAAAGCCGUUUGAAGUACGAAGUUGACUAAUGGAUUUUAAUGGAAUAGAGUAUGAAAAUCAUUGCUAUGAUUUCAUAUUCCACAUUGUAACUAACUGUUUUGGUCUCUGAACUGUGGAUAAUUUGUUUUGUUUUUUUUUUUAAUUGUGGUAAAAUGUACAUAAUAUAAAAUUCACCAUUUUCACCAUUUAAAAAAAUCUUUUCAAUGUUUUUAUUUAUUUUUGAGAAAGAGAGAGAGAGGGUAAGAGAGAGCACAUGAGCUGGGGAGGGGCAGAGAGAAAGGGAAACACAGAUUCUGAAGCAGGCUCCAGGCUCCGCACUGUCAGCACAGGGCCCGAUGGGGGGCUCAAACUGCGGGAUCAUGACCUGGGCCAAAGUUGGACUCUCAACCAACUGAGCCACCCAGGCACCCCUUAACCAUUUUUUAAAGUGUACAGUUGAGUGGCAUUAGGUGUAUUCACAUUGUUGUACAACCACCACCCAUUACAUAUCCAGAAUUUUUCAUCAUCCCCAACUGAAAUUCUGUACCCAUUAUAGUAGUA
This is a long non-coding RNA of Panthera uncia (snow leopard), 1960 nucleotides long. RefSeq lists it as uncharacterized. The transcript is spliced from 3 exons. Lineage: Eukaryota; Metazoa; Chordata; Mammalia; Carnivora; Felidae. The record is from RefSeq and is a predicted model, not a curated record.